CGACGGGAGCUUGCUCCCUURGGUCAGCGGCGGACGGGUGAGUAACACGUGGGUAACCUGCCUGUAAGACUGGGAUAACUCCGGGAAACCGGGGCUAAUACCGGAUGCUUGAUUGAACCGCAUGGUUCAAUCAUAAAAGGUGGCUUUUAGCUACCACUURCAGAUGGACCCGCGGCGCAUUAGCUAGUUGGUGAGGUAACGGCUCACCAAGGCGACGAUGCGUAGCCGACCUGAGAGGGUGAUCGGCCACACUGGGACUGAGACACGGCCCAGACUCCUACGGGAGGCAGCAGUAGGGAAUCUUCCGCAAUGGACGAAAGUCUGACGGAGCAACGCCGCGUGAGUGAUGAAGGUUUUCGGAUCGUAAAACUCUGUUGUUAGGGAAGAACAAGUACCGUUCGAAUAGGGCGGCACCUUGACGGUACCUAACCAGAAAGCCACGGCUAACUACGUGCCAGCAGCCGCGGUAAUACGUAGGUGGCAAGCGUUGUCCGGAAUUAUUGGGCGUAAAGCGCGCGCAGGCGGUUUCUUAAGUCUGAUGUGAAAGCCCCCGGCUCAACCGGGGAGGGUCAUUGGAAACUGGGGAACUUGAGUGCAGAAGAGGAGAGUGGAAUUCCACGUGUAGCGGUGAAAUGCGUAGAGAUGUGGAGGAACACCAGUGGCGAAAGGCGACUCUCUGGUCUGUAACUGACGCUGAGGCGCGAAAGCGUGGGGAGCGAACAG
RNAcentral lists this ribosomal RNA (723 nucleotides) under Bacillus amyloliquefaciens. Its description in RNAcentral is "bacterial SSU rRNA". It matches the Rfam family "Bacterial small subunit ribosomal RNA", at positions 70 to 775 of the family's 1533-position model. Lineage: Bacteria; Bacillati; Bacillota; Bacilli; Caryophanales; Bacillaceae. The record is from RNAcentral.